AUGGCGAGUUUAUUAAUGAAGAAGAACGCGGCGCAAUCUAGCAGAACGUGCCAGAAAACUUGCGCUAUAAAUAAGCUCGGCCUUGCACACUCCAUCCUCAAACCAGCUCUCUCGCCUUCCCAGCAACACAUACCACCACUUGAAUUGAACCUCAAGCGCAGAGAGGAGGAGCAAUGGAGUACGGGCACCCUUGCAACAGCUCCAGCAACAAGGAGAAGAGGCCUCCUCUCAAGAGGGGCCAGAUCAAGGUGCAAAUAG
Molecule: ribosomal RNA, 258 nt
Filed under: Triticum aestivum (bread wheat)
Lineage: Eukaryota; Viridiplantae; Streptophyta; Magnoliopsida; Poales; Poaceae
Description: partial small subunit ribosomal RNA
Source: RNAcentral